Molecule: ribosomal RNA, 720 nt
Filed under: Cellulosimicrobium sp. 7-2
Lineage: Bacteria; Bacillati; Actinomycetota; Actinomycetes; Micrococcales; Promicromonosporaceae
Description: bacterial SSU rRNA
Rfam family: Bacterial small subunit ribosomal RNA
Source: RNAcentral
UGAUGCCCAGCUUGCUGGGUGGAUUAGUGGCGAACGGGUGAGUAACACGUGAGUAACCUGCCCUUGACUUCGGGAUAACUCCGGGAAACCGGGGCUAAUACCGGAUAUGAGCUACCUUCGCAUGGGGGUGGUUGGAAAGUUUUUCGGUCAAGGAUGGGCUCGCGGCCUAUCAGCUUGUUGGUGGGGUGAUGGCCUACCAAGGCGACGACGGGUAGCCGGCCUGAGAGGGCGACCGGCCACACUGGGACUGAGACACGGCCCAGACUCCUACGGGAGGCAGCAGUGGGGAAUAUUGCACAAUGGGCGAAAGCCUGAUGCAGCGACGCCGCGUGAGGGAUGAAGGCCUUCGGGUUGUAAACCUCUUUCAGCAGGGAAGAAGCGCAAGUGACGGUACCUGCAGAAGAAGCGCCGGCUAACUACGUGCCAGCAGCCGCGGUAAUACGUAGGGCGCAAGCGUUGUCCGGAAUUAUUGGGCGUAAAGAGCUCGUAGGCGGUUUGUCGCGUCUGGUGUGAAAACUCGAGGCUCAACCUCGAGCUUGCAUCGGGUACGGGCAGACUAGAGUGCGGUAGGGGAGACUGGAAUUCCUGGUGUAGCGGUGGAAUGCGCAGAUAUCAGGAGGAACACCGAUGGCGAAGGCAGGUCUCUGGGCCGCAACUGACGCUGAGGAGCGAAAGCAUGGGGAGCGAACAGGAUUAGAUACCCUGGUAGUCCAUGCCGUA